RNAcentral lists this ribosomal RNA (497 nucleotides) under uncultured bacterium. RNAcentral's name for it is "partial 16S ribosomal RNA". It matches the Rfam family "Bacterial small subunit ribosomal RNA", at positions 28 to 507 of the family's 1533-position model. The record is from RNAcentral.
GAUGAACGCUGGCGGCGUGCCUAAUACAUGCAAGUCGAGCGAACAGACGAGGAGCUUGCUCCUCUGACGUUAGCGGCGGACGGGUGAGUAACACGUGGAUAACCUACCUAUAAGACUGGGAUAACUUCGGGAAACCGGAGCUAAUACCGGAUAAUAUAUUGAACCGCAUGGUUCAAUAGUGAAAGACGGUUUUGCUGUCACUUAUAGAUGGAUCCGCGCCGCAUUAGCUAGUUGGUAAGGUAACGGCUUACCAAGGCAACGAUGCGUAGCCGACCUGAGAGGGUGUUGGCCAACAGUGAAACUGACACAGGGACCAGACUCAAAGGGGGGGAGGCGAGAGGGAUCUUUCCGCAAAGGGCGAAAUCUGACGGGAGCAACGCCGGGGGAGGGAGAAAGGUCUUGUGUUCAAAAACCUUUUUUAUGAGGGAAAAAAAAAUGUUUAAUAAACUAUCCACGUCUAGAGAUAACCUACUAAAAAGGCCCGGGCAAACUAGGUC